Molecule: long non-coding RNA, 181 nt
Organism: Bradysia coprophila
Lineage: Eukaryota; Metazoa; Arthropoda; Insecta; Diptera; Sciaridae
Source: RefSeq, a predicted model, not a curated record
GUCUAUGCUAUAAAAAAAAAUUACGAGUGAACUUUGCGGCCAGAGCGAAACGAGUGCCGUAAUCACAUGAGUUUAAAUUUAUCCAGGAGUUUAGCAAGAAAUACGUCCUCAUUACAGCGUCUUUUAGCAGACACAAACCUUGAAAAUAAGCUCCCUUUGUUUAUUCUAAAAUUUGGUUUUC